GUAGGGAAUAUUGCGCAAUGGGGGAAACCCUGACGCAGCGACGCCGCGUGAGUGAUGAAGGCCUUCGGGUCGUAAAGCUCUGUUGCAGGGGAAUAAAAAAAUGAAGGUACCCUGUGAGGAAGGAUCGGCUAACUUCGUGCCAGCAGCCGCGGUAAGACGAGGGAUCCUAGCGUUGCUCGGAAUCAUUGGGCGUAAAGAGGGCGUAGGUGGCUUGGUAAGUCAGGUGUGAAAGCCCAGGGCUCAACCCUGGAAGUGCAUUUGAUACUGCUGAGCUUGAGUGUCGGAGAGGUUACCGGAAUACCUGGUGUAGUGGUGAAAUACGUAGAUAUCAGGUGGAACACCGGAGGCGAAGGCGGGUAACUGGACGAACACUGACACUGAGGCCCGAAAGCGUGGGGAUCAAACAGGAUUAGAAACCCUGUAGUCC
This 427-nucleotide ribosomal RNA is filed under the name uncultured bacterium. Its description in RNAcentral is "partial 16S ribosomal RNA". It matches the Rfam family "Bacterial small subunit ribosomal RNA", at positions 354 to 796 of the family's 1533-position model. The record is from RNAcentral.